AAGGUAGCAUAAUCAUUAGUUUYUUAAUUGGAAGCUGGAAUGAAAGGUUGGAUGAGAAAAUAACUGUCUCUAUUUAAGUUUAUUAGAAUUUUAUUUUUAAGUAAAAAAGCUUAAAUAAUAAUUGAAGACGAGAAGACCCUAUAGAGUUUUAUAAAUAUAGUUAUUUAAAAUUUUAGUAUUAUAAAAGUUAAUAGCUUAUUUUAUUUGAUUGGGGUGAUUGAAAAAUUUAAUAAACUUUUUCUUUAUAGAAACAUUAAUUUAUGAUUAAUUGAUCCUUUUUUUAAGAUUAUAAGAUAAAAUUAC
RNAcentral lists this ribosomal RNA (303 nucleotides) under Rhinusa linariae. RNAcentral's name for it is "partial 16S ribosomal RNA". The record is from RNAcentral. Lineage: Eukaryota; Metazoa; Arthropoda; Insecta; Coleoptera; Curculionidae.